CUGAGCUUAACUAACACCUGGCACAGAGAAGAAACAUAUUAAGGAUUUGCUGAGAGAAUAAGAUAGUAUAACUUGGUCUUAUAUCUAAGGUUUGAUUUUCUAGGAACCUAUAGUGAAUUUUAGGCUUGCUUUUCAGUUUUUGUAGCAGGGAUGUAGCACAGGUUUGGGACUCAGCACACCUAGUCCGAAAGCUGAUUUCUGUCACAGCAUGCAUGAGGGACAGUCUCUUCAGUUUAUUUAUACCUUAGUGCUGUGAUUCUCGAGCUUAUAGACACUGUGAGGACAGAAUUUUAGCUCUUCAAACAAAGGGGGGCAAAUAUACAGUGACCUCUAUCUAUGUAGGUAUUUAACUGAAAGGAAUUCCAGGGCCAAGUGUGUCUACUAUUAGAAGAAACAUACUUUUCUUACAAUGUAGUCCCUGAAUGCAAAUCAUGGUUUUAUCUGGUGGGCAACUGAAGAAACAGCAAUCUGAACUGAUAUGGGAGGCAGACCUCACUGUAACAGGAUUAGUGAGAAACAGUGUUUGUGGCUCUUAAUUGCUCAUUUUUUUUUUAAUGGGGGAUGUUAGGGAUUUUCUAAGGGCAGGUUUAUCCAUAUGCAGAGUUGAUGUUAGGAUGUAAAACCACAAAGAUGUAAUUAACUCCUCUGUUUGUGGUCUCCAUGUUAAUUCACUCUCAUAAGAGGGUAUGCAGUGUGGUCACUAUUCUACCACCAUUUUUAAGAAAAAAUUUAAAACUAUUUUUUAUCUUCCAAAUUAAAUAUUUUGCUAUUUGAUAAGUUAACAAUGCAAUAGAAAAUCAAUAUAACUUUUAUCUUUACCAGAAGCCAUAAAAGUCUAUCUAGGAAAAUUUCAGAUGUGUGAACAUGGCUUUAGAGAAGGAACUCAACUACAGACUAUAAGAAAUGUAAAACCAAGCCAGGUUCCUGUUGUGGUCCUUUAUUAUGACCUGGUGACCUAAGCUAGAGAAUCACAGCACUAAGGUAUAAGUAAACCAAAUAGCAUGCAUUGGCUUUAGUUCAGAAGGGGAUUUUUGCGCAGAAAAUAAAUUGAAAGUAGGGGCUCUGGCCAGCAUAAACAGAUAAGAAAAAAGUAUGAUUCCCUACGUCUCAAAAAUGACUCCUUCACACAUCCCACCAAUCAAAGAUCCAUUUGGAAUAACAGGUCUUCUAAAAGCUGCCAUAGAAGUUAAGCCUCCUACCACCUAUACUUCUGUGUGAAUUGAUUUAGUCUGCAGGCAUUUUGAUUGCUUUUCUCCUAACACCUAACUUAGAAGGUGAAAUAGAGGUCUUGUUUGGAGGGAAUUGAAGAAGGAAAAGGAAAGGGCAAUUUCAGAUCAAGGGAUAUGUUGGAAUGGUGGAAAAGUAGGAUCAUUAGGACAGCUGGGAACAGUCUUUUAGCUCUUGGAAGCCAGGAAAAAGAUGUAGAGAGAAGGGCAGAAGUGGUCAAGGCUCCAUGAAAAGGAGGAUGUAGCAGUCAAAUUGGAUGUCAACCAUGCAACAAUGACGUCAGGAACCCCGCUUGGUAUACCAUCGAAUAACACCUAUGAUCAUCCUGUAACUGCUGAUGCUGCCUCAUUGCUCUGCUCCAUUGCCUCACCCCAAGCCUUCAAAGUCAUCUCCUACUCU
Molecule: long non-coding RNA, 1626 nt
Filed under: Pan troglodytes (chimpanzee)
Lineage: Eukaryota; Metazoa; Chordata; Mammalia; Primates; Hominidae
Description: long non-coding RNA NONPTRT011311
Source: RNAcentral